AAAGAUUAAGCCAUGCAUGUCUGAGUAUAAGCAAUUAUACAGCGAAACUGCGAAUGGCUCAUUAUAUAAGUUAUCGUUUAUUUGAUAGUACCUUACUACUUGGAUAACCGUGGUAAUUCUAGAGCUAAUACAUGCUGAAAAUCCCGACUUCGGAAGGGAUGUAUUUAUUAGAUUAAAAACCAAUGCCCUUCUGGGCUCUCUGGUGAUUCAUGAUAACUUCUCGAAUCGCACGGCCUCGCGCCGGCGAUGGUUCAUUCAAAUUUCUUCCCUAUCAACUUUCGAUGUUUGGGUAGUGGCCAAACAUGGUUGCAACGGGUAACGGAGGGUUAGGGCUCGACCCCGGAGAAGGAGCCUGAGAAACGGCUACUACAUCCAAGGAAGGCAGCAGGCGCGCAAAUUACCCAAUCCCGACACGGGGAGGUAGUGACAAUAAAUACUGAUACAGGGCUCUUUCGGGUCUUGUAAUUGGAAUGAGUACAAUUUAAAUCCCUUAACGAGGAACAAUUGGAGGGCAAGUCUGGUGAACGUUGCUGGUGCCAGAGAGAGCUACCCCUCCGUUGAACAGUCCCCCUAAAAGUAGCUAGUCGAGCGUUCAAUCUGUGACGGGUGAGCGCCGGCGAGACAACCUGGAUCGGGGAAGGCUAAGGGCCCCAAGCUGGGCCUACGCUGAUCCCGAGCAGAGCUCGCGCUUGCGGAAGCGCGGGCCUGUGUAGAGCGCGCCAAGGUGUCGGUCCCAGUAGCGGGGGGAGGUUUCUCUUUUCCAACAAACCUCCCCCCCGGGGCUUAAGGUACGUGCCAAUCCCCCGCGAAAGCUGGGCCCCGCGGAGCAGCACCCGUCGUGCGAAGCCGUGGGGAGGGCCUGCCCGGGCAGGCUUGUAGAACAUUAGUGGCCAGCAGCCGCGGUAAUUCCAGCUCCAAUAGCGUAUAUUAAAGUUGUUGUGGUUAAAAAGCUCGUAGUUGAACCUUGGGCCUGGCUGGCCGGUCCGCCUCACCGCGUGUACUGGUCCGGCCGGGCCUUUCCCUCUGUGGAACCCCAUGCCCUUCACUGGGCGUGGCGGGGAAACAGGACGUUUACUUUGAAAAAAUUAGAGUGCUCCAGGCAGGCCUAUGCUCGAAUACAUUAGCAUGGAAUAAUGAAAUAGGACGCGCGGUUCUAUUUUGUUGGUUUCUAGGACCGCCGUAAUGAUUAAUAGGGACAGUCGGGGGCAUCAGUAUUCAAUUGUCAGAGGUGAAAUUCUUGGAUUUAUUGAAGACUAACUACUGCGAAAGCAUUUGCCAAGGAUGUUUUCAUUAAUCAGGAACGAAAGUUAGGGGAUCGAAGACGAUCAGAUACCGUCGUAGUCUUAACCAUAAACUAUGCCGACUAGGGAUCGGACGAUGUUAUUUUUUGACUCGUUCGGCACCUUACGAGAAAUCAAAGUGCUUGGGCUCCAGGGGGAGUAUGGUCGCAAGGCUGAAACUUAAAGAAAUUGACGGAAGGGCACCACCAGGGGUCAACCUGCACUGUGAUCUAAGCCGCAGUCAACUCUGCUCCGGAUAGCCGCCCGCAAGGGUCGGUGGUGUUUCCUUGGGUGCCGCCCCAGGCGCCCAGAACGAAAGGCUAGUCUCCGCCCGGCCCCCACCUGGGGGCGCGCGGAGGCGACACCCUCAAACUGACGGGGACACCCUAAAGCUCCCGCUCCAAAGCCGACGCGGCGAAAGCCGUCGGUGGCCAGGCCAACAGCCUCGGGUACUGGAACAACGCGGCGAGAUGCAACAAUGGGCGAUCCGCAGCCAAGCCCCUACGUGCGCCCUACGCAUACGGGGAAGGUUCAGAGACUUGACGGGGGUGGGUAGGCUCGCGCCCGCUGAGGGCGAAGCGCCAGGGGAAGACCUCCCGCUGGCUGGCCUGCUUAAGAGAAAGUCCGUCCCCCCGCGAGAGCGGAGGUUAGCUUCCAAUCGAGGCCCCCCCCUUUCCACACCGGAAAGUUAAAACGGGAGCCUGCGGCUUAAUUUGACUCAACACGGGGAAACUCACCAGGUUGGCUUUGUCUGGGCCUGGAAAAGUCGGGCGCUCGCUACGGGCGAGGCGCUGCGGCUAGUAUCGAGCUUCACUCCGCGUGGGGGAGCCCCCUCGUCGGGCGCGGAGACGGCACCCCAGCCCCUGGGGCGCCGUUGCUCGAUGCGACACCAGCUGGUACAGGGGACGCCUUAACCGGCCGAUCCUGUGGCGAGCUCGGGUUGCGCCGAGCCGCUGCAACGCGCGCUAAGCGGUGGGCUGGAAAGGGUGAGGGAGCCCCCCGUGGCUCCCCAUCCCCUCCGGCUUAAGGUACGUGCUAAUCCCACAGGGAACUGUGGCCUCUCUGACCAGGUCCGACUCACCGAAGCAGAGAGGGCGACGCCCAGCGAGCGAAACCCCCUACCCGGGGGAGAGAGCUGGCGCCGUGUGUGGGCUUCUUGCCGCGGCGAGAGGCCCACGAUGCCAGACACAAUGAGGAUUGACAGAUUGAGAGCUCUUUCUUGAUUUUGUGGGUGGUGGUGCAUGGCCGUUCUUAGUUGGUGGAGUGAUUUGUCUGCUUAAUUGCGAUAACGAACGAGACCUUAACCUGCUAAAUAGCCCGUAUUGCUUUGGCAGUACGCCGGCUUCUUAGAGGGACUAUCGGCUCAAGCCGAUGGAAGUUUGAGGCAAUAACAGGUUGGCGGGAUAUGCCACAACAUAUCACAGGCCUGUCACAGUAGAGAGAGAAGCCUCGUUAAACAUUUUUGACUGCUAGUCCAGCGACUUUACCUCCGUUGGGGAAGCUCCCCUGCUGUCGGGCGGAAAGGGGGCCCUUUAGGGGGCCUUGUCGCGGGCGACACCACCUGGUACAGGGAACGCCAUAACUGGCCGAUCCUGUGGCGAGCUCGGGUUGCGCCGAGCCGUCGCAACGCGCGCUAAGGGGUGGGCUGCGCCUACGGGCCGGCUUAAGGUACGUGCUAAUCCCAUGGGAAUGAAAGAAAAACCAUGCCCUCGCAGUGAGGCCCGACAGGUCAAGCUGCGCAGGGGGCGAACCGCCCUUCGAGGGCGGGCGCCGGCGCUCGAUCGAACCGCAACGCGGUCCGGGAGAGGAAAAACUGCUGUGAUGCCCUUAGAUGUUCUGGGCCGCACGGUACGUAUUUGCUUUACACCCCCUAUUCCUGUUCUCCAACACUCUGCAAAAGGCAUAAAUGCUAACUUCUUAUAGCGCGCUACACUGACGGAGCCAGCGAGUACUCCCUUGGCCGGAAGGCCCGGGUAAUCUUGUUAAAUUCCGUCGUGCUGGGGAUAGAGCAUUGCAAUUAUUGCUCUUCAACGAGGAAUCCCUAGUAAGCGCAAGUCAUCAGCUUGCGUUGAUUACGUCCCUGCCCUUUGUACACACCGCCCGUCGCUACUACCGAUUGAAUGGCUCAGUGAGGCGUUCGGACUGGCCCAGGGAGGCGGGAAACUGCCACCCAGGGCCGGAAAGUUCUCCAAACUCGGUCAUUUAGAGGAAGUAAAAGUCGUAACAAGGUCUCCGUU
RNAcentral lists this ribosomal RNA (3517 nucleotides) under Perennicordyceps prolifica. Its description in RNAcentral is "Polycephalomyces prolificus partial 18S ribosomal RNA". The stretch from base 1 to 1527 matches the Rfam family "Eukaryotic small subunit ribosomal RNA". The record is from RNAcentral. Lineage: Eukaryota; Fungi; Ascomycota; Sordariomycetes; Hypocreales; Polycephalomycetaceae.